GACGAACCGUGCGACCGUUGUUCGGAAUCACUGGGCUUAAAGGGCGCGUAGGCGGGCUGUCAAGUCUGGGGUGAAAUGCCGCGGCUCAACCGUGGAACUGCCUUAGAUACUGACGGCCUCGAGGAAGGUAGGGGCAUGCGGAACUGUAGGUGGAGCGGUGAAAUGCGUUGAUAUCUACAGGAACUCCGGUGGCGAAAGCGGCGUGCUGGACCUUUUCUGACGCUGAGGCGCGAAAGCUAGGGGAGCAAACGGG
Molecule: ribosomal RNA, 253 nt
Filed under: uncultured bacterium
Lineage: Bacteria
Description: partial 16S ribosomal RNA
Rfam family: Bacterial small subunit ribosomal RNA
Source: RNAcentral